This 467-nucleotide ribosomal RNA is filed under the name uncultured bacterium. RNAcentral describes it as "partial 16S ribosomal RNA". It matches the Rfam family "Bacterial small subunit ribosomal RNA", at positions 28 to 506 of the family's 1533-position model. The record is from RNAcentral.
GACGAACGCUGGCGGCGUGCUUAACACAUGCAAGUCGAACGGAAAGGCCCUGCUUUUGUGGGGUGCUCGAGUGGCGAACGGGUGAGUAACACGUGAGUAACCUGCCCUUGACUUUGGGAUAACUUCAGGAAACUGGGGCUAAUACCGGAUAGGAGCUCCUGCUGCAUGGUGGGGGUUGGAAAGUUUCGGCGGUUGGGGAUGGACUCGCGGCUUAUCAGCUUGUUGGUGGGGUAGUGGCUUACCAAGGCUUUGACGGGUAGCCGGCCUGAGAGGGUGACCGGCCACAUUGGGACUGGGAUACGGCCCAGACUCCUAGGGGGGGGAGCAGGGGGGAAUAUUGCACAAUGGGCGGAAGCCGGAUGCAGAAACGCCGGGGGGGGGAUGACGGCCUUCGGGUUGAAAACCGCUUUCGCCUGUGACGAAGCGUGAGGGACGGUAAUGGGAAAAGAAGCACCGGCUAACUACGU